GUUGUCGGAUUGACUUCAAUCUAUGUGUAUUGGUAUGGAUUGAGGUGAAAUUUAGGUCAAGUUUUAUUUCAAUACACCUCAACACAUGUGGAUUGACGUGAAUCUGACU
This 109-nucleotide microRNA precursor is filed under the name Sorghum bicolor (sorghum). RNAcentral describes it as "MIR5565 microRNA precursor family". It matches the Rfam family "MIR5565 microRNA precursor family". The record is from Rfam by way of RNAcentral. Lineage: Eukaryota; Viridiplantae; Streptophyta; Magnoliopsida; Poales; Poaceae.